This 1219-nucleotide non-coding RNA is filed under the name Cryptosporidium parvum. The record is from RNAcentral. Lineage: Eukaryota; Apicomplexa; Conoidasida; Eucoccidiorida; Cryptosporidiidae.
UAAAUUUACUUUACGCCUAACCAAUUCUGAAUUAAUCUUUAUUUAAUUUUGCAUAAUCCUAAUUACUAUGUGGACACUCCACCUAAUGCAAACGCAUGUAUACCGGUACAUGUAAUGGAAUAUUUGUGAUUUUUCCGUAGUAUGCAUGCACAAUUGGAGUGGGAAAUUGAUAAGAAUUACGGAAUAAAAGAAUACAUUAUUACUUAUAUUAAUUAAUACUAAUUAUCUCUUUUCCCUAAAAGUGUAUAUUCAUAUAAAAUGUUUAGCAAAAAGGCAUUGGCUUAAUACGUGUGUAUUUCUGUAACUGUUUUGGGGGUGGAGAAAUGUUAAGAUAGUUUUGAAAAUCAGCUAUUGGUCUUGGAAACCAAUCUUCUACCAUUAUUGUGUAGAUAUUGUGUCUCAUUUUCUUCUCAGCUUUAUAUAUCCAGGGGAUAAGCUCUUUGAUUACUAUUCGUUUCGGAUAUAAUAUCUCCUUUUUCGUAAUUUCAAGAGAAUUUAGAUAUUUAUCACAGUCUUGAUGAAUUUGUAUCGGCUUGGAUGGGUAUACGUGUGUUUUAUUAUGAUUUUCGAAAAUUUCCUUAGGCCUAACCUUUAAAAUUGGAGUGAUAAAAAGUCCCAUGAAUGCUCCUAUUGCUCCAAAAGGAAUUCCAGCAUGAAGAAACUCAAAUAACUUCAAUGUAACUUCAGAUUCCACUGUAAUGUUCAGCUCAAAUGCAGUAUGUAGGAUAUCGUGAAUCUAAAAAAAAGAAAGGUAAGUAAUUACAAUCUGCUAUUAAAAAUUAUCUAUAAUCGUUAAGACUUACCUGUCUGAACCUUGUCAAAACAUAAGCUAAAUCCUCACUGUUCACAUAUCUCACAGGAUCUCUAUUUAUUUCAAGGUUAUAAGUUGUCAAAAAUUCUCCAUACCUUCUUCCGAGUGAAUCAUCUGGAAAAGCCAUUAAAUCUUUAAUCGAAUAUUUUGAUGAAUCUAUCAAUGGUCUAUUCUUUAUUAUUCUUCUACCAUCUGGCGUGGAGUUCAUCAAAAUCUGUAAUCUUCUCAAAGCUCUAUUUGAGGUAAGUUCAGUGAUGCAUGCAACUGAAUUAGAAUCAGUUGGAUUUUUAAGACCUUCUACACAGCUUGUAACUGACAGCAAAACUUUCUCAAAUUGCGUUAUAGGGAUAUAAUUCUUCCUAAAUAGCUCUCUAAAAUCUCCUCCCUUUAAGCUUGAAGCGGUUCUCU